AAAGUCGUAACAAGGUUUCCGUAGGUGAACCUGCGGAAGGAUCAUUACAAAUCGAAGGGUUAGACAUGGGAAGUGUAGGAAAGUGAAGAAGGAGAAUGAUGAUUGAAUGAAUGAAUGUUACAACAAAAAACAAAAUUAAAAACAACUUUUAACAAUGGAUCUCUAGGCUCUU
This 172-nucleotide unclassified non-coding RNA is filed under the name Basidiomycota sp. RNAcentral describes it as "partial contains small subunit ribosomal RNA, internal transcribed spacer 1, and 5.8S ribosomal RNA". The stretch from base 1 to 47 matches the Rfam family "Eukaryotic small subunit ribosomal RNA", at positions 1785 to 1831 of the family's 1831-position model. The record is from RNAcentral. Lineage: Eukaryota; Fungi; Basidiomycota.